RNAcentral lists this ribosomal RNA (431 nucleotides) under uncultured bacterium. RNAcentral's name for it is "bacterial SSU rRNA". It matches the Rfam family "Bacterial small subunit ribosomal RNA", at positions 957 to 1391 of the family's 1533-position model. The record is from RNAcentral.
GAACGCGAAGAACCUUACCUAAGCUUGACAUCCCUUAGACCGGUGUUUAAUCACACCUUCCCUUCGGGGCUGAGGUGACAGGUGGUGCAUGGUUGUCGUCAGCUCGUGUCGUGAGAUGUUGGGUUAAGUCCCGCAACGAGCGCAACCCUUGUCUUUAGUUGCCAGCAUUCAGUUGGGCACUCUAGAGAGACUGCCAGGGAUAACCUGGAGGAAGGUGGGGAUGACGUCAAAUCAUCAUGCCCCUUAUGCUUAGGGCUACACACGUGCUACAAUGGGUGGUACAGAGGGUUGCCAAACCGUGAGGUGGAGCUAAUCCUUAAAGCCAUUCUCAGUUCGGAUUGUAGGCUGAAACUCGCUACAUGAAGCUGGAGUUACUAGUAAUCGCAGAUCAGAAUGCUGCGGUGAAUGCGUUCCCGGGUCUUGUACACACC